UGCAAUGUAAUUUGGAAUCAAGGUAGUUACAUCUGUCUCUUACAUAUAUUUAUAAAUUGUUUGUUACUUAACUCUAGUGUUUUUUAUAAGCUCAGUGCAACUUCAUUCUAUUUUUAUUCUUAUUUUUUUAAGCGUGUUAUUGGGGCUGUACUGUAAGUCAUGAGCUUAUCUGAGUACUUUACUGGUUAGUGCUGCUUCUCAAAUCUCAACUAUAUGUAGGAUAGCAGUGCAUUUAAUUUUAGGAAGUCCCAGCUAUGAUGCAUUAGCCAAACAUAUUACUUCUAUGCACAUCAAACAUAUUUUUUGUGCCUCCUUGAUAUGUUGAUAUGUAUUACUGUGGAUAUUUACUGGGGAUUUUUGGCAGGAAAAUUAUUGGCAGGAUAUUUGUCUACUUAUUGGUGUACCAUAGAGUCCUAUCGAUCUCUUUAAGGGUUUGCAUGUGUUUACUUACACAUGUUAUUGAUCUGACUAUUGUGUACUGGCCGGCUGCAGGGUUGGAGAGGUGUGGAAAGAGUUGCAGGUUGAGAUGGAUAAACUAUUUGAGACCAGAACUUAAGAGAGGCUGAAAUCUGAGAACCACACACAAUGAAAGGAAGACAUUGAAGAUCAGCAGCUCUCCACUUGUUAAUAGUUUCCAAAGUUAGUGAUAGGAUGGUUCAUGAGGUUGAUGGAGGGAAACAGGCAAUUUGUCACAAGAGACCCAGAAAAGGCUCACUUAUUUUAUCUUCCUUACAGCAUGCGCCAAUUGGAGUUGAAGCUUUAUGUACCUGGUUCACAUCAAAUUAAACCACUGGCAAUAUUCCUCAGAGACUAUGUGAACAUGAUUGCUGGGAAGUAUCCUUUCUGGAAUCGCACACAUGGGACAAAUCAUUUUCUUGUUGCUUGCCAUGACUGGGUUGGUAAUCUUUGAUCCUUGUUAUUUCCUUGUUACUGUCCCACGAAGAGUACCAAAUUCCUGAUGAUCUGUUGUACUGUUUUGUAUGUCUUUAAAUAUUAUGUGUGGAUUGUAGUAAUUGAUCUAGAAAGUUGAAAUACAAAAUUAGCAUUUUUUUUUCCCAUCUUUUAUUGCAUAUGUUCCUUGAAAUUCUCACUUUAUGGUCUGAUUAGAAAUGUCUGUUUGUAAUUUGAGAAUGAUUUUAAAAUUAAAUAUCAUUCAGCCUAUAGCUGUUUCAUAUGAAGAGCAACAUAUACAAGUUCAUGCAGCUGUUAUACAGUUGUUUCAUGGUUAGUGUCCCGAGUUCUUUGAACUGAAACAUGGAUGAAUAUUUUCUGGGAUGACGGGGUUGGAUGCCAAACUGAAAAUUCUUACUGCAGCAAAUCUGAUAUAAUUAAAGAGCAUAAAGGUGAGGCUAGGGGCGAUUAAGAAGAAGAGGAACGCUGUGCUGAAGUAUCUGAAGAAUAAUGUUGCUGUUCUUCUCAAGCCUUCAUAUUAAUGUAUAUGGAGGGUUACGUUUCAUGGCUCAUUAGUUUUAAUGUAUAUGAUGUGUCAAUUUUAUCAUUGUUUUGCUUGGCCUUAAUAGAAAUUAAUACAUUCCCUAAUAUUUAAAGUACAUUUGAAUUUCAUGUUAUUUGUGGAUCAACUUUCUAGUACCAAAUACAGCAGGAAAGGGAUAUGAAAAAAACAUCAGUUACUUAUGAAGAACUGAUGUCAGAAAACACAAAUUACAUCAGUUUGAAA
Molecule: long non-coding RNA, 1678 nt
Organism: Rosa chinensis
Lineage: Eukaryota; Viridiplantae; Streptophyta; Magnoliopsida; Rosales; Rosaceae
Exons: 3
Source: RefSeq, a predicted model, not a curated record